AUGCCGCGUGAGUGAAGAAGGCCCUUGGGUUGUAAAGCUCUUUCGUCGGGGAAGAAAAUGACUGUACCCGAAUAAGAAGGUCCGGCUAACUUCGUGCCAGCAGCCGCGGUAAUACGAAGGGACCUAGCGUAGUUCGGAAUUACUGGGCUUAAAGAGUUCGUAGGUGGUUAAAAAAGUUGGUGGUGAAAUCCCAGAGCUUAACUCUGGAACUGCCAUCAAAACUUUUUAGCUAGAGUAUGAUAGAGGAAAGCAGAAUUUCUAGUGUAGAGGUGAAAUUCGUAGAUAUUAGAAAGAAUACCAAUUGCGAAGGCAGCUUUCUGGAUCAUUACUGACACUGAGGAACGAAAGCAUGGGUAGCGAAGAGGAUUAGAUACCCUCGUAGUCCAUGCCGUAAACGAUGUGUGUUAGACGUUGGAAAUUUAUUUUCAGUG
RNAcentral lists this ribosomal RNA (431 nucleotides) under uncultured Alphaproteobacteria bacterium. Its description in RNAcentral is "bacterial SSU rRNA". It matches the Rfam family "Bacterial small subunit ribosomal RNA", at positions 394 to 845 of the family's 1533-position model. Lineage: Bacteria; Pseudomonadati; Pseudomonadota; Alphaproteobacteria. The record is from RNAcentral.